RNAcentral lists this ribosomal RNA (492 nucleotides) under uncultured bacterium. RNAcentral describes it as "partial 16S ribosomal RNA". It matches the Rfam family "Bacterial small subunit ribosomal RNA", at positions 29 to 507 of the family's 1533-position model. The record is from RNAcentral.
AGUGAACGCUGGCGGUAGGCCUAACACAUGCAAGUCGAACGGCAGCACAGUAAGAGCUUGCUCUUACGGGUGGCGAGUGGCGGACGGGUGAGGAAUACAUCGGAAUCUACUUUUUCGUGGGGGAUAACGUAGGGAAACUUACGCUAAUACCGCAUACGACCUACGGGUGAAAGCAGGGGAUCUUCGGACCUUGCGCGAUUGAAUGAGCCGAUGUCGGAUUAGCUAGUUGGCGGGGUAAAGGCCCACCAAGGCGACGAUCCGUAGCUGGUCUGAGAGGAUGAUCAGCCACACUGGAGCUGAGACACGGUCCAGACUCCUACGGGAGGCAGCAGUGGGGAAUAUUGGACAGAGGGCGCAAGCCUGAUCCAGCCAGACCGCGUGGGUGAAGAAGGCCUUCGGGUUGUAAAGCCCUUUUGUUGGGAAAGAAAAGCAGCAGGUUAAUACCCCGCUGUUCUGACGGUACCCAAAGAAUAAGCACCGGCUAACUUCGUG